Molecule: long non-coding RNA, 2844 nt
Organism: Passer domesticus (house sparrow)
Lineage: Eukaryota; Metazoa; Chordata; Aves; Passeriformes; Passeridae
Exons: 3
Source: RefSeq, a predicted model, not a curated record
CUCUAGUGCAAGUAUUCAUUCUAUAACCAGGGUACGUCUCCCAUUCCAGAGAUUCUGACCAUAUGUUCAAAAGCAGAUAAAAGCAGGGGAAAGGUAACAUAAGGUCAGCAUUUGGCAGAGCAAACAGAGCAGUACCCUUCCAUGUAGGGUUUAGCUCUGGUACUUCCCAUGUCCGUGGGAUCAAGAAUGGCUCCUCAUUUGUUUGUCACAAAACAACAUUCCUGAACAGCUUUUAGGCCUAUGAAGGCAGUAAAUUGCAAAAUGAACAAAGAGAGCAGGUGUGGUAUUCAUCUUAUUUUUCUGGGAAAGAAGAAAAGAAAGAAGAAGAAAAGAAAAGAAAGAAAGAAAAAGAAAGAAAGAAAGAAAGAAAGAAAGAAAGAAAGAAAGAAAGAAAGAAAGAAAGAAAGAAAGAAAGAAAGAAAGAAAGAAAGAAAGAAAAGAAAGAAAGAAAGAAAGAAAGAAAGAAAGAAAGAAAGAAAGAAAGAAAGAAAGAAAGAAUUUCAAAACAAGAAAAAUCCUCUAAUAAAAAUGCAAUGUGGAAAUGCUUAUAUAGUCUAUACUCAUUAGUAUUGUUCUAAUUUCAGCCUUUUUUCAGGUUAACAUAUGAAGAGAAGCCAUUAGCUCUACUUCAAGGCAGCUCAGUAAUGAAAAUUUGUAAACUUAAUUAGGGCAGAAAAGAUGUUAAGUUUAAGAUAAAACAUAUAAAUGUUUAGAAACUUCCCACAUUUCACAUGGAACAGAUCAUAUCUAACAAUAUUCACUGAAAACGUAAUCGCUACUUCAAACUUGUCAGCUCUAAUUUGCAGAAUUCUAGGAUUCUGGGAAAUUCCAGAAUUCAAUAAAAUGUGAAUGUUGAACAUUAAUUGGAAAAGAAAAAUUACCUUAAUAUUUCCAGCAUAUAGUCACUCUAAUGAAAUGUAAAAUUAUGCAAUGGUUAUGAUCUUGUGUAGAAGGAAAUACAUUUCCAGUUAUAUGAUUUAGUUUAACACACAGUCUGGAAAGUUUGGGUAAUACCUUCAGAUGUAUUGUCAUACCCUUGUCAAAGACAUCUAGGGUUCUUUAAUGGCAUAUCUUAGUUGAAUUAAAAUAAAAUAACAGAAGGACAACUCACAGAAAACAAAAAAGAAAUUUCUUAUUCCUAAUGUAACAAUUACUGCUCCUUUCUCCUCUUUUAUUUGAGGUCAGUAUGAAUGAAAGUCAUUGAUACCUCUGCCCUUAAAAUUGAGUCAUGAAAGUUUACCUAGAGUUGCAUCAUUUAUAUUUAAAUCAUUUAUAUUUAAUAUUGAAAUUUGAAACUAAAUACAAAAGAACAUUCCUCUUUUCUCACACUUGACUUGAAUCUUUAAAAACAUGGUCUUCCUGGAGCAGACAGGAAGAAAUAUUGUGUUACUUCAAGGCUUACUUUUCUGUGGUUUAUGUUUUACAUAAGAUUAGACUAGAUCAGGAUAACUCUGUUUUUGCCUUAGGAUCUAUCAGUCUUGAAAUUCUUCCCCAAAGUACACAUGUAUGACACAAAUCAUUAUCAAUUAUUAAUUAUUAAUACUUUACUCUUGACAACAGAAAAAAGUAACCUUAAAAUUGCAAAAAAAAACCAACUGAAAAGGAGUCUGCUUCGUGAAAAACUUUGCCUUUUCUUCUGAGGAAGAUUUUCAAGUGAUUCAGAAAAGAUUCACCGUUUUGAUAAUAAAAUUGAAGACCUAGAAAACAGGUCACGAUGUUCACAUCUUAAGAAUUACAGCUAUUACAGAAGAAAGCAAAAGUGAAAAAUGAUUUGAUUUAUAACCACUCUCAUAAUCAGAGUAAUCAGGGGAUGCAUUUUCCCACACAAAUUGGAAAUGAUAUCACCACAUGGAUUCAUUAAUCUGAAACACAGAGAACAGAGCAAAUUCUGUGUUACGUUUAUAAAGCUAAAACCAUUUCGAAAAAAGGUUAAAAAGUUUCCCAUGCAUCAAGGAAAAUACAGAAUUAAUCUCAAUAUUUUUAUUGCAGUUUCAUUAAAAAAACUUAGAGAAGAGUGAACACAAAGGAAAUCUCCUGGAGAAUGUGCAUACUGUUUCUUUAAUUACAGAUAGAAAGAUAGAUGUAGCUUGAAAAGGUGUCUACAUGCAACAUAUACAUGGAAAUUCUAGGUAAGAAGCAAGAGAAGAAAACCAAAAAUUUUUCUCAGUAUAGAUACCUUUUUGCCAGUCGCUGUUCCUUGACAUACAUAGAGGUACAGUGCUGAAGAAAAGCUGUUUGGCAGAACUAGUUCCAGGGUGUGUGGUAAAAUGGUAUAAUUUGCACCUGGUUCUCUAACAGGGUUGUUAGAGAUGGCAACUUCACAGAAAAAAAAAUAGUCAUAGAAUCACAGAAUAUGCUGAGUUGGUAGGUCCCUUCAGGAUCACUGAGCUUAGCUUGUGCCAUGACCAGUUCAACAUGUCAUCUCCAUUUCUAACCUGAAUGCUUGCUUAUUUAAUAUGUCAUAUGCUCAUGUACCAUGCAAUCUCAGGAGGUGAUGUCUUAAGUUUUAGCUUUUAUAUUUUCCAGAUUCUGUACUGCAUUAUUAUGUAACUCUGAAUUUCAUAUAAAGUGUUAGCAAGUUCUCUACACAGUCCAGUUAGACAAAACAAUCCUUUUCCAGCCAAGAACCAAAGACACCAUUACAGCUUCAGCCCAAAAACUAUAAACACCAGCAAAUUGAGGAGAGCAAUCUGGGAGGAUGGGACUUCAUAACCUGAAGCUGUGAUUGGAUAAUUAACCCAAUAUGUAAAUGGACCAAAACUUAUAAAAGUUUAAAAAACUUGUGACUGAUCUUAUAUCUUGUGUCCGUCUUGGAUGUAGCUCUGGCUGCGCUCUUGUACUGUC